Molecule: ribosomal RNA, 468 nt
Filed under: uncultured bacterium
Lineage: Bacteria
Description: partial 16S ribosomal RNA
Rfam family: Bacterial small subunit ribosomal RNA
Source: RNAcentral
GACGAACGCUGGCGGCGUGCUUAACACAUGCAAGUCGAACGGAAAGGCCCUGCUUUUGUGGGGUGCUCGAGUGGCGAACGGGUGAGUAACACGUGAGUAACCUGCCCUUGUCUUUGGGAUAACUUCAGGAAACUGGGGCUAAUACCGGAUAGGAGCUCCUGCUGCAUGGUGGGGGGUGGAAAGUUUCGGCGGUUGGGGAUGGACUCGCGGCUUAUCAGCUUGUUGGUGGGGUAGUGGCUUACCAAGGCUUUGACGGGUAGCCGGCCUGAGAGGGUGACCGGCCACAUUGGGACUGAGAUACGGCCCAGACUCCUACGGGAGGCAGCAGUGGGGAAUAUUGCACAAUGGGCGGAAGCCUGAUGCAGCAACGCCGCGUGCGGGAUGACGGCCUUCGGGUUGUAAACCGCUUUCGCCUGUGACGAAGCGUGAGUGACGGUAAUGGGUAAAGAAGCACCGGCUAACUACGUG